AUGGAGGUAGGCACGGAGGUGGGCACAGAGGUAAGGAUAGAGGUAGAGAUGGAGGUAGGGAUGGAGGUAGGCAUGGAGGUAGGCACAGAGGUAGGCAUGGAGGUAGGCACGGAGGUGGGCACAGAGGUAAGGAUGGAGGUAGAGAUGGAGGUAGGGAUGGAGGUAGGCAUGGAGGUAGGCACGGAGGUGGGCACAGAGGUAGGGAUGGACGUAGAGAUGGAGGUAGGGAUGGAGGUAAGCAUGGAGGUAGGCACGGAGGUGGGCACAGAGGUAAGGAUGGAGGUAGACACGGAGGCAGGGAUGGAGGUAGAGAUGGAGGUAGGGAUGGAGGUAGGCAUGGUGGUAGGCACGGAGGUGGGCACAGAGGUAGAGAUGGAGGUAGGGACAGAGGUAGAGAUGGAGGUAGGGAUGGAGGUAGGCAUGGAGGUAGGCACGGAGGUGGGCACAGAGGUAAGGAUGGAGGUAGAGACUGAGGUAGGGAUGGAGGUAGAGAUGGAGGUAGGGAUGGAAGUAGGGAUGGAGGUAGGCAUGGAGGUAGGCAUGGAGGUAGGCACGGAGGUGGGCACAGAGGUAAGGAUGGAGGUAGAGACGGAGGUAGGGAUGGAGGUAGAGAUGGAGGUAGGGAUGGAGGUAGGCAUGGUGGUAGGCACGGAGGUGGGCACAGAGGUAGGGAUGGAGGUAGGCACAGGGGUCGGGAUGGAGGUAGGCAUGGAGGUGGGCACAGAGGUAGAGAUGGAGGUAGGGACAGAGGUAGGGCGAGGGAUCAUGGCUAGUCUGAGCCAAGAACCACUUCAAGGGAAGACUCUUCAAAAUUGUUAUUUAUAUAUUUGGGAGAGAGAGAGAGAGAGAGCUCGCAGAGGAGAGGCAGAGGGAGAAGCAGGCUCCCUGCUGCUUGGGGAGCCCGAUGCGGGACUUGAUCCCGGGAUCCCUGGAUCACAACCAAGCCGAAGGCAGAUGCUCAACCACCGAGCCGCCCAGACGUCCCCUCCAUUUAUACAUUUUUAUAAACUAAAUGCGGGGAGUAAGACAAAGAAAGAGUCAGGGAGACAGACCGAAAGAACGAGAGACACGGAGAGAGGUUGGGAUCCGAGAGCGUGCGCAGCCAAGGCAGGUGACCAUUCCUAA
Molecule: long non-coding RNA, 1125 nt
Filed under: Canis lupus dingo (dingo)
Lineage: Eukaryota; Metazoa; Chordata; Mammalia; Carnivora; Canidae
Description: lncRNA (ENSCAFG00020027005.1)
Source: RNAcentral